GAUGAACGCUGGCGGCGUGCCUAAUACAUGCAAGUCGAGCGAACACACGAUGAGCUCUCUCCCUCGCCGUUAGCGGCUGACGGGCGAGUAACACGUAGGUAACCUACUUCUAUUUCUGGGAUAACUUCGGGAAACCGGUGCGAAUACCGCAUAAUAUUCCGAACGGCAUGGGUCGGUAGUGAUAGAUGCCUUUGCUAUCACUUAUAGAUGGAUCUGCGUCGUAUUAGCUAGUUGGUAAGGUAACGGCUUACCAAGGCAACGAUACGUAGCCGACCUGAGAGGGUGAUCGGCCACACUGGAACUGAGACACGGUCCAGACUCCUACGGGAGGCAGCAGUAGGGAAUAUUCCACAAUGGGCGAAAGCCUGACCGAGCAACGCCGCGUGGGUGAUGAAGGUCUUCGGGUUGUAAAGCUCUGUUAUUAGGAAAGAACAAACGUGGAAGUAACUGUGCACGUCUUGACGGUACCUAAACAGAAAGCCACGGCUAACUACGUG
Molecule: ribosomal RNA, 497 nt
Filed under: uncultured bacterium
Lineage: Bacteria
Description: partial 16S ribosomal RNA
Rfam family: Bacterial small subunit ribosomal RNA
Source: RNAcentral